RNAcentral lists this ribosomal RNA (336 nucleotides) under Podarcis cretensis. RNAcentral describes it as "partial large subunit ribosomal RNA". It matches the Rfam family "Bacterial large subunit ribosomal RNA", at positions 2006 to 2540 of the family's 2925-position model. The record is from RNAcentral. Lineage: Eukaryota; Metazoa; Chordata; Lepidosauria; Squamata; Lacertidae.
GAGGACAAAACUGUCUCUUACGGACUAGCCAAUGAAAUUGAUCCUUCAGUACAAAAGCUGAAAUUAACCCAUAAGACGAGAAGACCCUGUGGAGCUUCAAAACCAAAACCACUAAACAUGCCUCCUGGUUUUUUAGUUGGGGCGACUUUGGAGCAAAAAAAACCCUCCAAAACAUAAAUCUAUUUAUUAAGAACAACACACCAAAAAUAAUAUUAUAGACCCAGCAGUAUUAAUUUACUGUCUGAUCAAUGAACCAAGUUACCCCAGGGAUAACAGCGCUAUCCUCUUCUAGAGUCCUUAUCGACAAGGGGGUUUACGACCUCGAUGUUGGAUCAG